GAUCAUGGCUCAGAACGAACGCUGGCGGCAGGCCUAACACAUGCAAGUCGAGCGCACCCUUCGGGGCGAGCGGCGGACGGGUUAGUAACGCGUGGGAACGUACCCUUUUCUAUGGAAUAGCCUCGGGAAACUGAGAGUAAUACCAUAUAAGCCCUUCGGGGAAAGAUUAUCGGGAAGGAUCGGCCCGCGUUAGAUUAGAUAGUUGGUGGGGUAAUGGCCUACCAAGUCUACGAUCUAUAGCUGGUUUUAGAGGAUGAUCAGCAACACUGGGACUGAGACACGGCCCAGACUCCUACGGGAGGCAGCAGUGGGGAAUCUUAGACAAUGGGCGCAAGCCUGAUCUAGCCAUGCCGCGUGUGUGAUGAAGGUCUUAGGAUCGUAAAGCACUUUCGCCAGGGAUGAUAAUGACAGUACCUGGUAAAGAAACCCCGGCUAACUCCGUG
This 443-nucleotide ribosomal RNA is filed under the name uncultured bacterium. RNAcentral's name for it is "bacterial SSU rRNA". It matches the Rfam family "Bacterial small subunit ribosomal RNA", at positions 15 to 507 of the family's 1533-position model. The record is from RNAcentral.